Molecule: ribosomal RNA, 525 nt
Filed under: uncultured bacterium
Lineage: Bacteria
Description: bacterial SSU rRNA
Rfam family: Bacterial small subunit ribosomal RNA
Source: RNAcentral
ACAUCCAGAGAACUUAGCAGAGAUGCUUUGGUGCCUUCGGGAACUCUGAGACAGGUGCUGCAUGGCUGUCGUCAGCUCGUGUUGUGAAAUGUUGGGUUAAGUCCCGNAACGAGCGCAACCCUUAUCCUUUGUUGCCAGCGGUUCGGCCGGGAACUCAAAGGAGACUGCCGGUGAUAAACCGGAGGAAGGUGGGGAUGACGUCAAGUCAUCAUGGCCCUUACGGCCAGGGCUACACACGUGCUACAAUGGCGCAUACAAAGAGAAGCGACCUCGCGAGAGCAAGCGGACCUCAUAAAGUGCGUCGUAGUCCGGAUUGGAGCCUGCAACUCGACUCCAUGAAGUCGGAAUCGCUAGUAAUCGUAGAUCAGAAUGCUACGGUGAAUACGUUCCCGGGCCUUGUACACACCGCCCGUCACACCAUGGGAGUGGGUUGCAAAAGAAGUAGGUAGCUUAACCUUCGGGAGGGCGCUUACCACUUUGUGAUUCAUGACUGGGGUGAAGUCGUAACAAGGUAAGCGUAGCGAG